GCUCAUCUGCCAAUUCGCUGACAACCAACUUUGCCCUUCGAUCUACAACUUCAAAUAAAUCUUCUGCGGCUUUAAGCCACGAAGCCAUUGAUAAAAAAAUCCUCCAAUAAAAUAAAAGCCCUAANNNNNNNGGUGGAGCUUCCAUGAACUAAUGAGCGUUGUUAUUAGCGAAUCAGAUAAGUUGUAUUAGCUGGUACAAGAUGGAUUAGAAUCAGUGGAUAUUUGAAGAAACGCAAUGGAUUCG
RNAcentral lists this unclassified non-coding RNA (244 nucleotides) under Hevea brasiliensis (rubber tree). The record is from RNAcentral. Lineage: Eukaryota; Viridiplantae; Streptophyta; Magnoliopsida; Malpighiales; Euphorbiaceae.